Molecule: long non-coding RNA, 1008 nt
Filed under: Monodelphis domestica (gray short-tailed opossum)
Lineage: Eukaryota; Metazoa; Chordata; Mammalia; Didelphimorphia; Didelphidae
Description: lncRNA (ENSMODG00000046033.1)
Source: RNAcentral
AUGAACUGUGAAUGCUUCUUAACAACCUCCUUGACACACCUCUCUUUCAGAUACUCUGUUUGGUCUUUUUUCAGAUGUAAGAUAACCUUGAUACCCCUGCCAAUAGGCUCACCAUGGUCAGCAGAGACUGUGAAAGAGCCAACAGCAGAAGUCUCCCAGACAUAUUAUUCAUCAUCAUUGUGCUUAGUGAUCACAACAACUUUCUCUUCUACUAGUCUCCUUUGCUGGCUUUUAGAAAAUCUGUAUCAUAACUCUUCACAGUGGAUAUACCCCAAUGUCUGUCACCGGCCGUCUUCCUUCUGCAUUCUCUCACUUGGUAAGAUUGUAUUUUCUUAUUUUCUCCCAUGGGUUUAAUUCAUAUGCAGAUGUUUGUUGUUUCAGUUAUAUCUGACUUUUUAUGACCCCAUUUGGGGUUUUCUUGGAAAAGAUACCGAAAUGGUGCCAUUUCCUUCUCCAGCUCCUUCUAUAGAUGAGGGAACUAAGGAAAACAGUGUUAAGUGACUUGCUCAGAGUCACAUAGCUAGGAAGUGUCUGAGGCCAGAUUUGGACUCACAAAGAUGAGUCUUCUUGAUUUUAGGCCCAACAUUCUGUCCACUGUACAUUUAGCUGCCCUCACUUUUUUUUAGUUAAUUAUGUCCAACCCUUCUUGAUCCUAUUUGGGAUUUUCAUGGCAAAGAUAUUGGAGUGAUUUGCCAUUUCCUUCUCUAGUUCAUUUGAAGAAACUGAGACAACCAGGAUCACACAGCUAGUAUCUGAGGCUAGAUUUGAACUCAGAUCUUUCUAACUCUUGGUUCAGUACUCUAUCCACUAUACCACUUAGCUGGUGACUCAACUCUUUAUAUCUAGCCCAUAAUCUCUCUUCUGACUUCUAGUACUUUAGUGCCAAAUGACCAUUCGACAUUCCUAACUGUAUGUCCCAAGACAUUUCAGAUUCAAUAUGUCCAAAACAGAAAUCUUAUUUUUCCUAAAACCCAUUCUGAUUCUGAACUUCCUUGUUUCUGUUGUGGG